UACGUAGGUCCCGAGCGUUGUCCGGAUUUAUUGGGCGUAAAGCGAGCGCAGGUGGUUUAUUAAGUCUGGUGUAAAAGGCAGUGGCUCAACCAUUGUAUGCAUUGGAAACUGGUAGACUUGAGUGCAGGAGAGGAGAGUGGAAUUCCAUGUGUAGCGGUGAAAUGCGUAGAUAUAUGGAGGAACACCGGUGGCGAAAGCGGCCUACUGGACGGUGACUGACGCUGAGGCUCGAAAGCGUGGGGAGCAAACAGG
This 252-nucleotide ribosomal RNA is filed under the name uncultured bacterium. RNAcentral's name for it is "partial 16S ribosomal RNA". It matches the Rfam family "Bacterial small subunit ribosomal RNA", at positions 524 to 776 of the family's 1533-position model. The record is from RNAcentral.